CAGCUUCCUUUCUCCACUCAGCUCUCCUCAUUUUGCCUGGGCACUUGCUGGCUUCAUGUCACCAGAAGGCCACAGGCAUCUCUGUCUGUUUAGACUUUCUUGCAGUAGCCACCAACACGAGUCGUUCAUUUCGCUUCAUGGUUAAACUAUGGGUCAGUUCUAAUUCAACUAUAUGUCUACACCUUGGUUUUUGGAAUGAAUCAGUAAACUUUGAGGAGGGUGAGAAGGACAGGGAGUGGUAAAUGCAUGCGAGUGGAAUCAAUAGCUUCAUCGACCUCGGAAGCAGUCUGUAAAUUGAAAGAGGCAAAAAUCAUCACAGUCCCCAUUUCUCCACUGAGAUUCUGUGGGAGGGCCUGGAAUCAUUGAGGCUAGAAAAGUACACCCAUCAGAUGAACUGGUAAAUGAUUAGGACCGAACAGAAGAAUUCUGCUUCUGCAUAAAGGCUGUGACUUCCUGACACUGUUUGUUUCACUGACAAAUGUUUUCUGUCCUCAGACAGAGCUGAGCCCCUGUGAGAAGCCUGUCACAACUGGCUUUGUCAAGAACACCGCUUAGCUACUCACUACAAUUUCUCUAAAGAGGGCUGCCUGCCUUUCCCCAGAUGGACAUAGGGUGCUGCGUCCACAAGGAGGUGGGAUCCAUUGUUCUUCCCCAGCAAUGGCUUCUGGGGAUUUUAGCUUAAUCAGUCUCCAUUUCAGGACCUAGAGUUAGCAUUCUCUCUCCCACUCACUUUCCCAUCAGUCCCACAGCAGAACACAUUCCUUGUCCAAAUAUCUGCAACCCUUGAUCACUAAUCUUCCCACCAGCUGUCAGUGAGAGGCCUGUUAAAUGUUCCCAUCUUGAAAGCCUUCUGAUGGAGACAAAUGGGAAAUAAACUUGCUGCGAAGCAGCUCCUAGUACAUUUAUGUCUCUCGAUUCCCUUUACUUUCUCUCUGCUCUGAGGCUUGGAUAUAGAAUGGAGGCUGGUUUUCAGUGACAGAUGGCUGAGGAUAAUCUCCCAUUUUGUCAUCAAGUUAACCCUCAGAGGGUCUUGAAAAAGACCUUUUUUCUUGGAAAAUUAGUGGCUUCAUAUAUCCCUGCUUUUGACCAAGUAGAACAAGCUUCUCCUUUCUGAUUUUCGAAAUAGAAAACAUGCCUUUCCUUUUAAGCUAACCCACCUUGAAAAACACUAAAUGAAAAACACUUCAUUUUGUUUUAUUUAUGAUUCCGUGAGUGCCUUGCUCAUUUUAAUUAAUGAUGAUUUGCCUGUGUUUGAGCCCUAGCAAUAAAUUCUAAAACCGGGCUAUUAAAGAUAAUCCAAUUAACAAACCCAAGAAAGAUGUCUUCCAGAGUAAUUUGUUGAUAUUUUUACUGAGGAAGAAGACUAAAUGAAGUACAAGACUGAAAUUACUUUUUAAGAUGACGAAAUUAGGACACAGACAUAUACAGAGGAAAGGCCGUGUGAAUACAGGAAGAAGACCAUCUACAAAUAAAGGAGAGUCCUCAGGAGGAGCCAACCCUGCUACCAUCUUUGUUGUAGGCGGCGGGAAUGGCACCAGAUGUCUGACCGGUGGGGUCAGACCAAAACUGGGCUCAGCAGCCUCGGUACAAAGACCCUUUUGAUGACAUUGGACCCACCCAGAUAAUACAAGGUAAUUUCACAAGUUCUAGAAAUUAGAAGGCAGACAUCCUCAAGGAGCUACUGUUCUAUCUACCACACCUGAAAACACCAUCUUGUUAGCAAGAUGUGCCUCAGUCUUGACAUCUAUUAAAAGGGGAGAGAGACAUCCUUACUCAUAAGGUUGCUAUGAGAAUUUAUUGAGUUUGUUCAUGUGAAUGGUGCCUGGAACAUAGUAUAUGCUCGGUAGUAUUAGCUAUUAUCAUAACUAUAUUGUUAUCUAUUUACCUUCUUUGCCCCACACUAGAUUGCUAGUUCCUUGAAGAAAAGAACAGUAUUUCUAGGUUCCAGCAUAGAAU
Myotis lucifugus (little brown bat) is the source of this 1956-nucleotide long non-coding RNA. RefSeq lists it as uncharacterized. The record is from RefSeq and is a predicted model, not a curated record. The transcript has 3 exons. Lineage: Eukaryota; Metazoa; Chordata; Mammalia; Chiroptera; Vespertilionidae.